This 621-nucleotide ribosomal RNA is filed under the name Staphylococcus aureus. RNAcentral's name for it is "bacterial SSU rRNA". It matches the Rfam family "Bacterial small subunit ribosomal RNA", at positions 202 to 816 of the family's 1533-position model. The record is from RNAcentral. Lineage: Bacteria; Bacillati; Bacillota; Bacilli; Caryophanales; Staphylococcaceae.
ACGGUCUUGCUGUCACUUAUAGAUGGAUCCGCGCUGCAUUAGCUAGUUGGUAAGGUAACGGCUUACCAAGGCAACGAUGCAUAGCCGACCUGAGAGGGUGAUCGGCCACACUGGAACUGAGACACGGUCCAGACUCCUACGGGAGGCAGCAGUAGGGAAUCUUCCGCAAUGGGCGAAAGCCUGACGGAGCAACGCCGCGUGAGUGAUGAAGGUCUUCGGAUCGUAAAACUCUGUUAUUAGGGAAGAACAUAUGUGUAAGUAACUGUGCACAUCUUGACGGUACCUAAUCAGAAAGCCACGGCUAACUACGUGCCAGCAGCCGCGGUAAUACGUAGGUGGCAAGCGUUAUCCGGAAUUAUUGGGCGUAAAGCGCGCGUAGGCGGUUUUUUAAGUCUGAUGUGAAAGCCCACGGCUCAACCGUGGAGGGUCAUUGGAAACUGGAAAACUUGAGUGCAGAAGAGGAAAGUGGAAUUCCAUGUGUAGCGGUGAAAUGCGCAGAGAUAUGGAGGAACACCAGUGGCGAAGGCGACUUUCUGGUCUGUAACUGACGCUGAUGUGCGAAAGCGUGGGGAUCAAACAGGAUUAGAUACCCUGGUAGUCCACGCCGUAAACGAUGAGUGC